This 21-nucleotide non-coding RNA is filed under the name Caenorhabditis elegans. The record is from RNAcentral. Lineage: Eukaryota; Metazoa; Nematoda; Chromadorea; Rhabditida; Rhabditidae.
UCAAUGAUUAACGGUACUACU